RNAcentral lists this long non-coding RNA (281 nucleotides) under Manihot esculenta (cassava). Its description in RNAcentral is "long non-coding RNA (MESC_LNC008946)". Lineage: Eukaryota; Viridiplantae; Streptophyta; Magnoliopsida; Malpighiales; Euphorbiaceae. The record is from RNAcentral.
AAACAAAUAGAAUACAAAGAGAGUAACAAAGGCCUGUUUCUUUUAGCUUUGAGAAACUCUGGCCAUGGAGAAUAUUUUAGCAAAAAGAAAAGAAAAAGAGUCAAAACUUGCCACUAGAAGAGGUCACAUCACUAACCCAACCUAACAGUAAAAAGAGGGGAGGCAUUACCAGGUUGAAUGAUACAGAGGGGAGAGAGAGAAUUAAUAUAUAUGAGCUGAAAUGUAAUUUUCCUCUUCAUGGACAAUUAGAGUUUUUACCAGGGCCCCCAUAAUAAAAGUAA